This 482-nucleotide ribosomal RNA is filed under the name uncultured bacterium. Its description in RNAcentral is "partial 16S ribosomal RNA". It matches the Rfam family "Bacterial small subunit ribosomal RNA", at positions 30 to 507 of the family's 1533-position model. The record is from RNAcentral.
AUUGAACGCUGGCGGCAUGCUUUACACAUGCAAGUCGAACGGUAACAGGCCGCAAGGUGCUGACGAGUGGCGAACGGGUGAGUAAUGCAUCGGAGCGUGCCCAGUCGUGGGGGAUAACUACUCGAAAGAGUAGCUAAUACCGCAUACGAUCUAUGGAUGAAAGCGGGGGACCGUAGGGCCUCGCGCGAUUGGAGCGGCGGAUGUCCGAUUAGGUAGUUGGUGGGGUAAAGGCUCACCAAGCCAACGAUCUGUAGCUGGUCUGAGAGGACGACCAGCCACACUGGGACUGAGACACGGCCCAGACUCCUACGGGAGGCAGCAGUGGGGAAUUUUGGACAAUGGGCGCAAGCCUGAUCCAGCAAUGCCGCGUGCAGGAAGAAGGCCUUCGGGUUGUAAACUGCUUUUGUACGGAACGAAACGGCUCUGGUUAAUACCCGGGGCUAAUGACGGUACCGUAAGAAUAAGCACCGGCUAACUACGUG